This 842-nucleotide ribosomal RNA is filed under the name Curvularia catenulata. Its description in RNAcentral is "SSU rRNA". It matches the Rfam family "Eukaryotic small subunit ribosomal RNA", at positions 59 to 921 of the family's 1831-position model. The record is from RNAcentral. Lineage: Eukaryota; Fungi; Ascomycota; Dothideomycetes; Pleosporales; Pleosporaceae.
CCCUGUCAACCCUGCGGCUGGUCUCAUUAUCACUUAUUCUUGUAACUGCGAAUGGCUCAUUAAAUCAGUUAUCGUUUAUUUGAUAAUACCUUACUACUUGGAUAACCGUGGUAAUUCUAGAGCUAAUACAUGCUGAAAAUCCCGACUUCGGAAGGGAUGUGUUUAUUAGAUAAAAAACCAAUGCCCUUCGGGGCUCUUUGGUGAUUCAUGAUAACUUUACGGAUCGCAUAGCCUUGCGCUGGCGACGGUUCAUUCAAAUUUCUGCCCUAUCAACUUUCGAUGGUAAGGUAUUGGCUUACCAUGGUUUCAACGGGUAACGGGGAAUUAGGGUUCGAUUCCGGAGAGGGAGCCUGAGAAACGGCUACCACAUCCAAGGAAGGCAGCAGGCGCGCAAAUUACCCAAUCCCGACACGGGGAGGUAGUGACAAUAAAUACUGAUACAGGGCUCUUUUGGGUCUUGUAAUUGGAAUGAGUACAAUUUAAACCUUCUUAACGAGGAACAAUUUGGAGGGGCAAGUCUGGUGCCAGCAGCCCGCGGUAAUUCCAGCUUCCAAUACCGUAUAUUAAAGUUGUUGCAGUUUAAAAGCUUCGUAGUUUGAAACUGGGGCCGGGCUGGGGGGCCCGCCUCACGCGGGGACUCCGUCGGGCGGGCCUUUCUUCUGGAAAACUACUGCCCUUCCUGGGGGUGUGGGGAAUCAGGACUUUUAUUUGAAAAUUAAGUGUCAAAGCGGGCUUUCCAAUACUUAAUGAAAAAAAUCGGGCGCGCGUUAUAUCUUGUGUUCUAAAAACACCAAUAUUAUCGAGAACACGGGCAUAACAUCUCUCCUUCGAGAGGUACUCUU